UAGAAAAUGCUUCAAAAAAGAAAAGAAAGGAGCAGCUAUUUUGAAGACUGACUUUCUUAAAUUACAUUUAGACAGUGAUGGUUCAGGCUGCUGGAAUAGUGAUGUGAUUUUGGAAUACAGGUGAGGCUUGAUGGGAUGGAGUCCGGAGCCAUAGACCAAGAAAGAAUUCUUGAGGCGUCUAUGGUGCA
This 188-nucleotide long non-coding RNA is filed under the name Ursus maritimus (polar bear). Its description in RNAcentral is "lncRNA (ENSUMAG00000002492.1)". Lineage: Eukaryota; Metazoa; Chordata; Mammalia; Carnivora; Ursidae. The record is from RNAcentral.